Molecule: non-coding RNA, 96 nt
Organism: Mycena rebaudengoi
Lineage: Eukaryota; Fungi; Basidiomycota; Agaricomycetes; Agaricales; Mycenaceae
Source: the annotation of a GenBank genome assembly
GGUCUGGUGGUGUAGUUGGAAACACGUCCCCUUCAUGUUCGCAAAUAUUCCUUCAUGAUGAUGAGGAAGUCCCUCGCUCGAAUCAAGGCUAGGCCG